RNAcentral lists this ribosomal RNA (443 nucleotides) under uncultured Leptotrichia sp. Its description in RNAcentral is "bacterial SSU rRNA". It matches the Rfam family "Bacterial small subunit ribosomal RNA", at positions 338 to 795 of the family's 1533-position model. The record is from RNAcentral. Lineage: Bacteria; Fusobacteriati; Fusobacteriota; Fusobacteriia; Fusobacteriales; Leptotrichiaceae.
CCUACGGGAGGCAGCAGUGGGGAAUAUUGGACAAUGGGGGCAACCCUGAUCCAGCAAUUCUGUGUGCACGAAGACGGUUUUCGGAUUGUAAAGUGCUUUCAGCAGGGAAGAAGGAAGUGACGGUACCUGCAGAAGAAGCGACGGCUAAAUACGUGCCAGCAGCCGCGGUAAUACGUAUGUCGCGAGCGUUAUCCGGAAUUAUUGGGCAUAAAGGGCAUCUAGGCGGCCUGACAAGUCAGGGGUGAAAACCUGCGGCUCAACCGCAGGCCUGCCUUUGAAACUGACAGGCUGGAGUACCGGAGAGGUGGACGGAACUGCACGAGUAGAGGUGAAAUUCGUAGAUAUGUGCAGGAAUGCCGAUGAUGAAGAUAGUUCACUGGACGGUAACUGACGCUGAAGUGCGAAAGCCGGGGGAGCGAACAGGAUUAGAUACCCUAGUAGUC